AAUUUUCUAAAUAAAUAAUAAAUUCACUUCGGCUCAAACAAGGUCGUCUAUAAAACCCUAUACCCCAAUGCCACAUCCUAUCAGAGUGUUGCGUCCCGACGUCCUUCAACACAUGGUUCCUUAAAGCAAUUCACCUAAUCAUCUGCUCCCCCGAACACAAAGUUCAAGAUCAUCACAGGAUCCAAACACAAACAACACACGGGGAGUG
RNAcentral lists this long non-coding RNA (208 nucleotides) under Glycine max (soybean). Its description in RNAcentral is "long non-coding RNA (GMAX_LNC000998)". Lineage: Eukaryota; Viridiplantae; Streptophyta; Magnoliopsida; Fabales; Fabaceae. The record is from RNAcentral.